Molecule: ribosomal RNA, 1337 nt
Filed under: uncultured bacterium
Lineage: Bacteria
Description: bacterial SSU rRNA
Rfam family: Bacterial small subunit ribosomal RNA
Source: RNAcentral
GACGAACGCUGGCGGCGUGCUUAACACAUGCAAGUCGAACGGAAAGGCCCUUCGGGGUACUCGAGUGGCGAACGGGUGAGUAACACGUGGGUGAUCUGCCCUGCACUUUGGGAUAAGCCUGGGAAACUGGGUCUAAUACCGAAUAGGACCACGCGCUUCAUGGUGUGUGGUGGAAAGCUUUUGCGGUGUGGGAUGGGCCCGCGGCCUAUCAGCUUGUUGGUGGGGUAAUGGCCUACCAAGGCGACGACGGGUAGCCGGCCUGAGAGGGUGACCGGCCACACUGGGACUGAGAUACGGCCCAGACUCCUACGGGAGGCAGCAGUGGGGAAUAUUGCACAAUGGGCGCAAGCCUGAUGCAGCGACGCCGCGUGAGGGAUGACGGCCUUCGGGUUGUAAACCUCUUUCAAUAGGGACGAAGCGCAAGUGACGGUACCUAUAGAAGAAGCACCGGCCAACUACGUGCCAGCAGCCGCGGUAAUACGUAGGGUGCGAGCGUUGUCCGGAAUUACUGGGCGUAAAGAGCUCGUAGGUGGUUUGUCGCGUUGUUCGUGAAAACUCACAGCUUAACUGUGGGCGUGCGGGCGAUACGGGCAGACUAGAGUACUGCAGGGGAGACUGGAAUUCCUGGUGUAGCGGUGGAAUGCGCAGAUAUCAGGAGGAACACCGGUGGCGAAGGCGGGUCUCUGGGCAGUAACUGACGCUGAGGAGCGAAAGCGUGGGGAGCGAACAGGAUUAGAUACCCUGGUAGUCCACGCCGUAAACGGUGGGUACUAGGUGUGGGUUCCUUCCUUGGGAUCCGUGCCGUAGCUAACGCAUUAAGUACCCCGCCUGGGGAGUACGGCCGCAAGGCUAAAACUCAAAGGAAUUGACGGGGGCCCGCACAAGCGGCGGAGCAUGUGGAUUAAUUCGAUGCAACGCGAAGAACCUUUCCUGGGUUUGACAUGCACAGGACGCCGGCAGAGAUGUCGGUUCCCUUGUGGCCUGUGUGCAGGUGGUGCAUGGCUGUCGUCAGCUCGUGUCGUGAGAUGUUGGGUUAAGUCCCGCAACGAGCGCAACCCUUGUCCUAUGUUGCCAGCGGGUUAUGCCGGGGACUCGUAGGAGACUGCCGGGGUCAACUCGGAGGAAGGUGGGGAUGACGUCAAGUCAUCAUGCCCCUUAUGUCCAGGGCUUCACACAUGCUACAAUGGCCGGUACAAAGGGCUGCGAUGCCGUGAGGUGGAGCGAAUCCUUUCAAAGCCGGUCUCAGUUCGGAUCGGGGUCUGCAACUCGACCCCGUGAAGUCGGAGUCGCUAGUAAUCGCAGAUCAGCAACGCUGCGGUGAAUACGUUCCCGGGCCU